UGGGGAAUAUUGGGCAAUGGGGCGCAAGCCUGACCCAGCAACGCCGCGUGAAGGAAGAAGGCUUUUCGGGUUGUAAACUUCUUUUAUCAGGGACGAAGACAAUGACGGUACCUGAUGAAUAAGCCACGGCUAACUACGUGCCAGCAGCCGCGGUAAUACGUAGGUGGCAAGCGUUAUCCGGAUUUACUGGGUGUAAAGGGCGUGUAGGCGGGACUGCAAGUCAGAUGUGAAAACUAUGGGCUCAACCCAUAGCCUGCAUUUGAAACUGUAGUUCUUGAGUGUCGGAGAGGCAAUCGGAAUUCCGCGUGUAGCGG
This 314-nucleotide ribosomal RNA is filed under the name uncultured Pseudoflavonifractor sp. RNAcentral's name for it is "bacterial SSU rRNA". It matches the Rfam family "Bacterial small subunit ribosomal RNA", at positions 355 to 681 of the family's 1533-position model. The record is from RNAcentral. Lineage: Bacteria; Bacillati; Bacillota; Clostridia; Eubacteriales; Oscillospiraceae.